AGUUUUAAGCAGAGGUCUAUUAUUUGUCAUUUUCUGUAGGUUGGUAACCUGGAGGAACCUUAUCCUGGUUUCAUGUGGGAUUGUUCAAGCUAUAAUUAUUUGAAGGUUUCUGUGUGGCUGGAGGAUCCAAGUCAUUCUCACUCAGAUAUGGGGCAGUUGAUGCUGGAUGUUGGCUCAUUCUCUUCCGUUCUCCACCUGAUCACUCAUCCUCUGCUCCUGGAACAUUCUCUCGUUGGAAACAGCUGCCACCCAGCCUUUGCGGCUCUGUCGUGAUGGAAGAGGACAGCCUUAUGAUAGUGGGAACUGUUUAUCUCCAUACCAUGGGUUAUCUCUUGGGCCAUCUAUGAGAAGCUCCAAAAUUGGUAGGUGAAGUUCUUGUCUCUAUAAACGCUGGUCAAUUUCUGUGUCAUUUGCUAGAGCUGAGCUUGCCCGUGA
RNAcentral lists this long non-coding RNA (435 nucleotides) under Mustela putorius furo (domestic ferret). RNAcentral describes it as "lncRNA (ENSMPUG00000030581.1)". Lineage: Eukaryota; Metazoa; Chordata; Mammalia; Carnivora; Mustelidae. The record is from RNAcentral.